GUUUACCAAGCCUGCUGGAGCCUCUGAAGGGCAGCAGCCAGCUCACCCCCCAUGCCCUGGAUGGCAACAAGGCACAGGAGACCGCAGAGCAUACAAACAGGGCAAGAGGAAACCAUCUAUCAAUGACCAGGGACCAGAGGAAGCAAAGUUCUAACAUCUCGCUCACGUUCUCCCAAGGCCCAGAGCACUCCUCUUCUUGGUGGAUACCAAUGCACUUUGAGAAGAAGCAGGAAUGCAUGUAUUUCUAAACAAUGAACUUUGGAGAAAUUAACAGGCAAAGGAUCAAGUACUACUAAUAUAAAAAUGAAAAGAUGAUACCAGGCAAAGUAAAACCUGGGUUGUGGUGACAGCAGCACUCGUGUCUGACGUCUGAUGCAGACCCUUCCAUGAAGUGGCCUUGAAAAAUGACACCCCACAUUCCUGGAGCGGUACUGGAGCCACCAGAGUGAGCAGAAUGAAGCUGUUUUUAAAGCCUCAUUCCCAAAGAUUUGUCCUUUCGGAACUGUCUCGUCAGACCUGUCUGGUAAUACUCUGGAAGACUCCACAUGCAAGAUUGUCUGUAUUUGACCUGACUUGGAGAUUUACUGGUUUCUGGUAUUUACAGAAAUCUCUGUCCUAUCCUUACUCAACAACCAAGCU
Homo sapiens (human) is the source of this 639-nucleotide long non-coding RNA. Ensembl annotates it as long intergenic non-protein coding RNA 2251. The record is from Ensembl. Lineage: Eukaryota; Metazoa; Chordata; Mammalia; Primates; Hominidae.